AGGACAAACGCUGGCGGGGUGCAUGGGACAUGCAAGUCGAACGAGGUGCCAUCGGGCUUGCUCGAUGGUUACCUAGUGGCGGACGGCUGAGUAACGCGUAGGUGACCUACCCGGAAGUGGGGAAUAACUGCCCGAAAGGGUGGCUAAUACCGCAUGUGGUCGGCGAUUCGAUUCGCCGUCUAAAGGAGCAAUUCGCUUCCGGAGGGGCCUGCGUCCGAUUAGCUAGUUGGUGGGGUAACGGCUCACCAAGGCGACGAUCGGUAGCUGGUCUGAGAGGAUGAUCAGCCAGACUGGGACUGAGAACGGCCCAGACUCCUACGGGAGGCAGCAGUCGGGAAUUUUGCCCAAUGGACGAAAGUCUGAGGCAGCAACUCCGCGUGAGGGAUGAAGGCUCUCGGGUCGUAAACCUCUUUUCUCAGGGAAGAUCCAAGACGGUACCUGAGGAAUAAGCGACGGCUAACUACGUGCCAGCAGCCGC
Molecule: ribosomal RNA, 478 nt
Filed under: uncultured bacterium
Lineage: Bacteria
Description: SSU rRNA
Rfam family: Bacterial small subunit ribosomal RNA
Source: RNAcentral